Sorex araneus (European shrew) is the source of this 103-nucleotide small nuclear RNA. The record is from Ensembl. NCBI's taxonomy places the organism in Eukaryota, Metazoa, Chordata, Mammalia, Eulipotyphla, Soricidae.
GUGCUCACUUUGGCAGCACAUAUACAAAAAAUUGGAGUAUUAGAGAUCUGCACAGCCCCUGAGCAAGGAUGAUAUGUAAAUUUGUGAAGUAUUACAUGUUUUU